GACGAACGCUGGCGGCGUGCUUAACACAUGCAAGUCGAACGGAAAGGCCCUGCUUUUGUGGGGUGCUCGAGUGGCGAACGGGUGAGUAACACGUGAGUAACCUGCCCUUGACUUUGGGAUAACUUCAGGAAACUGGGGCUAAUACCGGAUAGGAGCUCCUGCUUCAUGGUGGGGGUUGGAAAGUUUCGGCGGUUGGGGAUGGACUCGCGGCUUAUCAGCUUGUUGGUAGGGUAGUGGCUUACCAAGGCUUUGACGGGUAGCCGGCCUGAGAGGGUGACCGGCCACAUUGGGACUGAGAUACGGCCCAGACUCCUACGGGAGGCAGCAGUGGGGAAUAUUGCACAAUGGGCGGAAGCCUGAUGCAGCAACGCCGCGUGCGGGAUGACGGCCUUCGGGUUGUAAACCGCUUUCGCCUGUGACGAAGCGUGAGUGACGGUAAUGGGUAAAGAAGCACCGGCUAACUACGUG
RNAcentral lists this ribosomal RNA (468 nucleotides) under uncultured bacterium. Its description in RNAcentral is "partial 16S ribosomal RNA". It matches the Rfam family "Bacterial small subunit ribosomal RNA", at positions 28 to 507 of the family's 1533-position model. The record is from RNAcentral.